GGCCACCUAAGAUGGAAGAAGCCGUGAGAUGAAUAAGUGUUGCCCACUCACAAGGUUGCAAACUGUCCUUCACUUACAAUUAUCCCCCAACUCCCCCUCCUAAAUCUGAUCAAUCACAUGGAACUUGAUGGUUACAAAAGACAGAGCUAACAACUAGCUACCUUGCAGGAACGGGAACGUCAUUCUGAGGAUAGUCCACAUGCAAGUGUUCUAAGGUUGACAUCACUACUUCAUCAUUCACCUCAUUUUCCCAGAACAGAAGCACCAAGAAAAUUAUCACCAUUAUUAUCAUCAGAGAUUAAGAAGCAGCAAUGCCCCUCUUGUGGCAAGGGUUGGCAGCAUAUGGUUGGUAUGUCAACGAAUCCAAGGUCCAACGGCCUGGAUUGUCUACCAAAUGCUUGGGAGUUGUUUGAUCAGGUUGACAUGCUCCAACAGCAUUGUGGACUGGGCCCACACCUACGCU
Molecule: non-coding RNA, 463 nt
Filed under: Pongo abelii (Sumatran orangutan)
Lineage: Eukaryota; Metazoa; Chordata; Mammalia; Primates; Hominidae
Source: RNAcentral